GGGUUGUGAGGUUAAGCGACUAAGCGUACACGGUGGAUGCCCUGGCAGUCAGAGGCGAUGAAGGACGUGCUAAUCUGCGAUAAGCGUCGGUAAGGUGAUAUGAACCGUUAUAACCGGCGAUUUCCGAAUGGGGAAACCCAGUGUGUUUCGACACACUAUCAUUAACUGAAUCCAUAGGUUAAUGAGGCGAACCGGGGGAACUGAAACAUCUAAGUACCCCGAGGAAAAGAAAUCAACCGAGAUUCCCCCAGUAGCGGCGAGCGAACGGGGAGCAGCCCAGAGCCUGAAUCAGUGUGUGUGUUAGUGGAAGCGUCUGGAAAGGCGCGCGAUACAGGGUGACAGCCCCGUACACAAAAAUGCACAUGCUGUGAGCUCGAUGAGUAGGGCGGGACACGUGGUAUCCUGUCUGAAUAUGGGGGGACCAUCCUCCAAGGCUAAAUACUCCUGACUGACCGAUAGUGAACCAGUACCGUGAGGGAAAGGCGAAAAGAACCCCGGCGAGGGGAGUGAAAAAGAACCUGAAACCGUGUACGUACAAGCAGUGGGAGCACAGAGCAAUCUGUGUGACUGCGUACCUUUUGUAUAAUGGGUCAGCGACUUAUAUUCUGUAGCAAGGUUAACCGAAUAGGGGAGCCGAAGGGAAACCGAGUCUUAACUGGGCGUUAAGUUGCAGGGUAUAGACCCGAAACCCGGUGAUCUAGCCAUGGGCAGGUUGAAGGUUGGGUAACACUAACUGGAGGACCGAACCGACUAAUGUUGAAAAAUUAGCGGAUGACUUGUGGCUGGGGGUGAAAGGCCAAUCAAACCGGGAGAUAGCUGGUUCUCCCCGAAAGCUAUUUAGGUAGCGCCUCGUGAAUUCAUCUCCGGGGGUAGAGCACUGUUUCGGCAAGGGGGUCAUCCCGACUUACCAACCCGAUGCAAACUGCGAAUACCGGAGAAUGUUAUCACGGGAGACACACGGCGGGUGCUAACGUCCGUCGUGAAGAGGGAAACAACCCAGACCGCCAGCUAAGGUCCCAAAGUCAUGGUUAAGUGGGAAACGAUGUGGGAAGGCCCAGACAGCCAGGAUGUUGGCUUAGAAGCAGCCAUCAUUUAAAGAAAGCGUAAUAGCUCACUGGUCGAGUCGGCCUGCGCGGAAGAUGUAACGGGGCUAAACCAUGCACCGAAGCUGCGGCAGCGACACUAUGUGUUGUUGGGUAGGGGAGCGUUCUGUAAGCCUGUGAAGGUGUGCUGUGAGGCAUGCUGGAGGUAUCAGAAGUGCGAAUGCUGACAUAAGUAACGAUAAAGCGGGUGAAAAGCCCGCUCGCCGGAAGACCAAGGGUUCCUGUCCAACGUUAAUCGGGGCAGGGUGAGUCGACCCCUAAGGCGAGGCCGAAAGGCGUAGUCGAUGGGAAACAGGUUAAUAUUCCUGUACUUGGUGUUACUGCGAAGGGGGGACGGAGAAGGCUAUGUUGGCCGGGCGACGGUUGUCCCGGUUUAAGCGUGUAGGCUGGUUUUCCAGGCAAAUCCGGAAAAUCAAGGCUGAGGCGUGAUGACGAGGCACUACGGUGCUGAAGCAACAAAUGCCCUGCUUCCAGGAAAAGCCUCUAAGCAUCAGGUAACAUCAAAUCGUACCCCAAACCGACACAGGUGGUCAGGUAGAGAAUACCAAGGCGCUUGAGAGAACUCGGGUGAAGGAACUAGGCAAAAUGGUGCCGUAACUUCGGGAGAAGGCACGCUGAUAUGUAGGUGAAGUCCCUCGCGGAUGGAGCUGAAAUCAGUCGAAGAUACCAGCUGGCUGCAACUGUUUAUUAAAAACACAGCACUGUGCAAACACGAAAGUGGACGUAUACGGUGUGACGCCUGCCCGGUGCCGGAAGGUUAAUUGAUGGGGUCAGCGCAAGCGAAGCUCUUGAUCGAAGCCCCGGUAAACGGCGGCCGUAACUAUAACGGUCCUAAGGUAGCGAAAUUCCUUGUCGGGUAAGUUCCGACCUGCACGAAUGGCGUAAUGAUGGCCAGGCUGUCUCCACCCGAGACUCAGUGAAAUUGAACUCGCUGUGAAGAUGCAGUGUACCCGCGGCAAGACGGAAAGACCCCGUGAACCUUUACUAUAGCUUGACACUGAACAUUGAGCCUUGAUGUGUAGGAUAGGUGGGAGGCUUUGAAGUGUGGACGCCAGUCUGCAUGGAGCCGACCUUGAAAUACCACCCUUUAAUGUUUGAUGUUCUAACGUUGACCCGUGAUCCGGGUUGCGGACAGUGUCUGGUGGGUAGUUUGACUGGGGCGGUCUCCUCCUAAAGAGUAACGGAGGAGCACGAAGGUUGGCUAAUCCUGGUCGGACAUCAGGAGGUUAGUGCAAUGGCAUAAGCCAGCUUGACUGCGAGCGUGACGGCGCGAGCAGGUGCGAAAGCAGGUCAUAGUGAUCCGGUGGUUCUGAAUGGAAGGGCCAUCGCUCAACGGAUAAAAGGUACUCCGGGGAUAACAGGCUGAUACCGCCCAAGAGUUCAUAUCGACGGCGGUGUUUGGCACCUCGAUGUCGGCUCAUCACAUCCUGGGGCUGAAGUAGGUCCCAAGGGUAUGGCUGUUCGCCAUUUAAAGUGGUACGCGAGCUGGGUUUAGAACGUCGUGAGACAGUUCGGUCCCUAUCUGCCGUGGGCGCUGGAGAACUGAGGGGGGCUGCUCCUAGUACGAGAGGACCGGAGUGGACGCAUCACUGGUGUUCGGGUUGUCAUGCCAAUGGCACUGCCCGGUAGCUAAAUGCGGAAGAGAUAAGUGCUGAAAGCAUCUAAGCACGAAACUUGCCCCGAGAUGAGUUCUCCCUGACUCCUUGAGAGUCCUGAAGGAACGUUGAAGACGACGACGUUGAUAGGCCGGGUGUGUAAGCGCAGCGAUGCGUUGAGCUAACCGGUACUAAUGAACCGUGAGGCUUAACCUUACAACGCCGAAGCUGUU
Molecule: ribosomal RNA, 2931 nt
Filed under: Escherichia coli
Lineage: Bacteria; Pseudomonadati; Pseudomonadota; Gammaproteobacteria; Enterobacterales; Enterobacteriaceae
Description: bacterial LSU rRNA
Rfam family: Bacterial large subunit ribosomal RNA
Source: RNAcentral